AGUGAACGCUGGCGGUAGGCCUAACACAUGCAAGUCGAACGGCAGCACAGUAAGAGCUUGCUCUUACGGGUGGCGAGUGGCGGACGGGUGAGGAAUACAUCGGAAUCUACUUUUUCGUGGGGGAUAACGUAGGGAAACUUACGCUAAUACCGCAUACGACCUACGGGUGAAAGCAGGGGAUCUUCGGACCUUGCGCGAUUGAAUGAGCCGAUGUCGGUUUAGCUAGUUGGCGGGGUAAAGGCCCACCAAGGCGACGAUCCGUAGCUGGUCUGAGAGGAUGAUCAGCCACACUGGAACUGAGACACGGUCCAGACUCCUACGGGAGGCAGCAGUGGGGAAUAUUGAACAAUGGGCGCAAGCCUGAUCCAGCCAUACCGCGUGGGUGAAGAAGGCCUUCGGGUUGUAAAGCCCUUUUGUUGGGAAAGAAAAGCAGCAGGUUAAUACCCCGCUGUUCUGACGGUACCCAAAGAAUAAGCACCGGCUAACUUCGUG
This 492-nucleotide ribosomal RNA is filed under the name uncultured bacterium. RNAcentral describes it as "partial 16S ribosomal RNA". It matches the Rfam family "Bacterial small subunit ribosomal RNA", at positions 29 to 507 of the family's 1533-position model. The record is from RNAcentral.